GGGCUCGUGGUCUAGCGGUUAGGACACUUCGUUUACACCGAAGAUAUCACAGGUUCGAAUCCUGUCGGGCCCA
This 73-nucleotide transfer RNA is filed under the name Candidatus Diapherotrites archaeon CG11_big_fil_rev_8_21_14_0_20_37_9. RNAcentral's name for it is "tRNA-Val". It matches the Rfam family "tRNA". Rfam says of the family: Transfer RNA (tRNA) molecules are approximately 80 nucleotides in length. Their secondary structure includes four short double-helical elements and three loops (D, anti-codon, and T loops). Lineage: Archaea; Nanobdellati; Candidatus Iainarchaeota. The record is from RNAcentral.